This is a long non-coding RNA of Lepisosteus oculatus (spotted gar), 610 nucleotides long. RefSeq lists it as uncharacterized. NCBI's taxonomy places the organism in Eukaryota, Metazoa, Chordata, Actinopteri, Semionotiformes, Lepisosteidae. The record is from RefSeq and is a predicted model, not a curated record.
AGUUCCCUCAUGGCAGUUAAAUGUUUCCCUGGGCAGAGGGAGAGGGAAAAAAGGAUAUUAUCAAUGAACAACUUCCUCUGAUACGAACCCCACACCAAAGGCGUAGCACCUGCAGAUACCCAGGGGAAACACUGCGGAGAAUUGCCACAGACUCGGAGAAACUUGCAGGCUCGGCACUUCUCAUUAUGCAACAGCAGAGCCACCGCGAAACUGCGCAGAGUCGUCAUCGCCCGAGUUCUCAGAUUAAUAUCAUACAGAUGUAAACAGUGGAAACGAAGGGGAAAAUGGGAAUAUUUUCCGUGUCAGACCCUCAGAAAGCUGAAUCAGAGAGCAAUUAACUCUCACUUACAGUACGCAGUGAUAAGGCUUUAUGAGAUUGGAGAACGACGUGACUUUCGUUAAUAAACAAGCAGGGGUUCAUGCCUAUCAGGUUAGUAAGGUUCUUAAGAAUGCAUAAACAUAGUAUGAAUGUAUAGAUAAUCUGAUGCUUUUUUUCUGUAGCACCUGUCAUGGUACACCAUACCAAGGCAUUGUCUGUAACACAGGAAAAAUUCUGUGUUAGCUUGUUUGUUAAAAAUGCUGGCAAAUAAACAUGAUUAAGCACCUUUUA